Homalodisca vitripennis (glassy-winged sharpshooter) is the source of this 1851-nucleotide long non-coding RNA. RefSeq lists it as uncharacterized. The record is from RefSeq and is a predicted model, not a curated record. Lineage: Eukaryota; Metazoa; Arthropoda; Insecta; Hemiptera; Cicadellidae. The transcript is spliced from 2 exons.
AUCAUUCACAAAGUUAUACUUAAAAAUGUUUUUAUAAGUGUAGAUAAAUUUAUUAAGGGACAGUCAACUAGGACUAUGCUCAUUCUUCCCAUAACUACAUGAAAUUUUGCUAUCCUGAACUUGUGCUAUUUUUAGAUUAUAUGUGUGUAUUACGAGUAGUAUGUUUAGUUCAAAUGAAUUGUAUUUCCGGGCUGUAGUUGAGUUUGCCUUGUUACCCCGAUCAAGAAAAUACAGACAUACAUAUGACCAAGAUGCCUACUUAGGUAAAGAAGCGGUAUUAUAUUCUACUUCUGGUCAAACAUGUAGAGUGAAACUUUCCAAAUCUGACUGUACCUAUUCAGUAGAUGAACUUGUUAAUUAUCUCACACAUAUGCCAUACUGUUCUUGAUGAUAGACAAAAUAAUGCAUACAUAGACACUGCUCUGUUUACUUGUUUGUGUUUUCUUGUUUGAUUCCGCUAUAAUUCUUGUGACUUACUCCUAACUAAAAAGUAGAACCAAAAAAUGAUGAAACCUACACCAAAAUAUUGUAUUUCAAUUGAGAAAAGAAACAUCUAUAGUCGACGAUCAUCACCAAAUUUGUUUAGUUUGCACUUAAGAAAGUAAUCAAUCAUCAGUCACGCUAAUUUUGGUGGAGGUAGAAAUGGGAGGGUUAUCAAAAAGGUUAAAAAAUGAAAUGAUAAUUUUUUUCUCAGAUUAUAUUUUUUCUAGCUUGAUACACUUAAAACUGAUUAUAAGACACAUCAAUAAUACUCAAAGUAUAUUAUUCUCAUACAACUAGAUAACAGGACUGCAAGUCGCCAUUUACAAGUCUGCGUAUGGUUAGCUGGUGCUGAUUUAACAUUUAUCUAUUAGUCUGAUGUUAUGAUGGGGAAGCAAAAGUUCUUAGGAUGGUGCUGUGCUGGGCAAAUUGUAUGCAGUGUGCAUUUCUACCAUUAGAAGAUUGUUACAAAACUUCAGAGUUCAGUGCAAUACUGACAUUGACUGGAAUUGUUGUGAACCAUACUACAGCUGAUGAGAAUUCAUAGCAACAGUUCAACGAUUCAAUGUUAUCAUGUGAAUAAUAAUAUUGAAUGUAUGGGGUUCCCUUAGUGUAACAUGACCUAAAUUUGUUUUUUGAAAUGUCAUGGAAAUUAGGAUUUUUGGUGCCAUUUCUCAGCCAUUCACGAUAAAGCCAAACUUUAAAUACAAAAAUUGUUUAGUUUUCAAAAGAGCUAAUACGUGUAGUAAAAAUCAUACCUUACUUAAUAAGUUUUAAAUAUAAAUUUUAAUUAUAAAAAAAAUGUGCUGAAAAGUGACAGCUGCAACAUAUUUUUCUAGAAAGAGUACUUCUUUGGUAGUCUUGGAUAAAAUUUUUAAAUAACGAUAUAUUGAAAUAAAAUGCAGAAUAAAUUACUUGAGUAAAUGAACGUUUGCCAGGUAUCUAAUUAAAAUAACAGAGUUCACAAUACAACAAUAUAAAUUUUCAAUGGUUGCUUUUAUUACAGCAUUAUUGAAAAAGAAGAAUAGUAACAUUAUAUUACAAUUUGAACUUUCCAAUCAGGUAAAACAUUGAUAUAAUGCACAAUACUAAAAGCAAGAGGGAAUAUAAUAAUAUGUUAAAGAACCCACAAGCCAAAGAUCAAAGGAAAUGAAAAUUUAACUAAUUGGGAAUUGUCAAGAGUUAUUUUUGUUUCAUUUUCUUUUCUUAAUGUAACUUGGGAUUCUCUGUGCACUACGAAAAUGUAUUAUCAUAAAUUAAAAUUUUAUCUUUGAACCACAUACAAAUAGUUUAUGGGAAACAAUUUAAUAUGCAUGUGCUGAGGGAAGAGAUAAAUUGUAUUAACACCAUUAAAACUGGUUUAGCCAUGUU